GUGAGGAAUAUUGGACAAUGGGCGCAAGCCUGAUCCAGCCAUGCCGCGUGCAGGAAGACGCAUCUAUGGUGUGUAAACUGCUUUUGUACGGGAAGAAACACUCCCUCGUGAGGGAGCUUGACGGUACCGUAAGAAUAAGGAUCGGCUAACUCCGUGCCAGCAGCCGCGGUAAUACGGAGGAUCCAAGCGUUAUCCGGAAUCAUUGGGUUUAAAGGAUCCGUAGGCGGUUUAAUAAGUCAGUGGUGAAAGCCCAUCGCUCAACGAUGGAACGGCCAUUGAUACUGUUAGACUUGAAUUACAAGGAAGUAACUAGAAUAUGUAGUGUAGCGGUGAAAUGCUUAGAUAUUACAUGGAAUACCAAUUGCGAAGGCAGGUUACUACUUGUGGAUUGACGCUGAUGGACGAAAGCGUGGGGAGCGAACAGGAUUAGAUACCCCUGUAGUCC
This 445-nucleotide ribosomal RNA is filed under the name uncultured bacterium. RNAcentral describes it as "partial 16S ribosomal RNA". It matches the Rfam family "Bacterial small subunit ribosomal RNA", at positions 354 to 796 of the family's 1533-position model. The record is from RNAcentral.